This 1344-nucleotide ribosomal RNA is filed under the name uncultured bacterium. RNAcentral describes it as "partial 16S ribosomal RNA". It matches the Rfam family "Bacterial small subunit ribosomal RNA", at positions 28 to 1381 of the family's 1533-position model. The record is from RNAcentral.
GACGAACGCUGGCGGCGUGCUUAACACAUGCAAGUCGAACGGAAAGGCCCUGCUUUUGUGGGGUGCUCGAGUGGCGAACGGGUGAGUAACACGUGAGUAACCUGCCCUUGACUUUGGGAUAACUUCAGGAAACUGGGGCUAAUACCGGAUAGGAGCUCCUGCUGCAUGGUGGGGGUUGGAAAGUUUCGGCGGUUGGGGAUGGACUCGCGGCUUAUCAGCUUGUUGGUGGGGUAGUGGCUUACCAAGGCUUUGACGGGUAGCCGGCCUGAGAGGGUGACCGGCCACAUUGGGACUGAGAUACGGCCCAGACUCCUACGGGAGGCAGCAGUGGGGAAUAUUGCACAAUGGGCGGAAGCCUGAUGCAGCAACGCCGCGUGCGGGAUGACGGCCUUCGGGUUGUAAACCGCUUUCGCCUGUGACGAAGCGUGAGUGACGGUAAUGGGUAAAGAAGCACCGGCUAACUACGUGCCAGCAGCCGCGGUGAUACGUAGGGUGCGAGCGUUGUCCGGAUUUAUUGGGCGUAAAGGGCUCGUAGGUGGUUGAUCGCGUCGGAAGUGUAAUCUUGGGGCUUAACCCUGAGCGUGCUUUCGAUACGGGUUGACUUGAGGAAGGUAGGGGAGAAUGGAAUUCCUGGUGGAGCGGUGGAAUGCGCAGAUAUCAGAGGAACACCAGUGGCGAAGGCGGUUCUCUGGGCCUUUCCUGACGCUGAGGAGCGAAAGCGUGGGGAGCGAACAGGCUUAGAUACCCUGGUAGUCCACGCUGUAAACGGUGGGUACUAGGUGUGGGGUCCAUUCCACGGGUUCCGUGCCGUAGCUAACGCUUUAAGUACCCCGCCUGGGAGUACGGCCGCAAGGCUAAAACUCAAAGGAAUUGACGGGGCCCCGCACAAGCGGCGGAGCAUGCGGAUUAAUUCGAUGCAACGCGUAGAACCUUACCUGGGUUUGACAUGGAUCGGGAGUGCUCAGAGAUGGGUGUGCCUCUUUUGGGGUCGGUUCACAGGUGGUGCAUGGCUGUCGUCAGCUCGUGUCGUGAGAUGUUGGGUUAAGUCCCGCAACGAGCGCAACCCUUGUUCACUGUUGCCAGCACGUUAUGGUGGGGACUCAGUGGAGACCGCCGGGGUCAACUCGGAGGAAGGUGGGGAUGACGUCAAGUCAUCAUGCCCCUUAUGUCCAGGGCUUCACGCAUGCUACAAUGGCUGGUACAGAGAGUGGCGAGCCUGUGAGGGUGAGCGAAUCUCGGAAAGCCGGUCUCAGUUCGGAUUGGGGUCUGCAACUCGACCUCAUGAAGUCGGAGUCGCUAGUAAUCGCAGAUCAGCAACGCUGCGGUGAAUACGUUCCCGGGGCU